GUGGUUUUACUACGACGAGGGGUAGUUUUUACAAAGAGGUUACAAUAGGUUAGCGCGCCUGAAAGAAAGUACGUGCUUUUGGAAUCCUUACACUUUCGGAGAUAUGUUCAAAAACGUUCUAAGAUGAGGAAUUUCGUUGUACUGAGCUUGGAGAAAAAAGCAGAAAUCUCUUAUUAGCUAUACUUUUUUUUUUUUUUUAAGAUGCUGCUCUGUGGCAUCUUCCUUAUGCUUUGGAAGGGUUUUUUUCCCCUCCAUUGAGUUCCUGACUUUCUUUACAAGCUUCCAAGAGAAACUAGAAGGAUAUUUUCUGACAUCUGUUAAUCAUUUCUGCCUUGGUUCAUUAGGUCUCAACUUACUCCAGCACUACAGAUGAGAGAAAGCGACAGCUCCAGAGGCCUCUUGGGAUGGCAGGAUGGAUCUGACAAAGCAAGGUGUGACAGAAUGCCACAAGGUUGCAGCAACAGAAUCCUAGGAUCCAGUGACCAGAUAAAGUUUCAGGGACAACACAUCCAGUGUUAGUAUACCUCGAUGGAACAAGAUUCACAGACUCAUAAAUGCUUUUGUUCACUGUUGCUCUCAGCCGCUGAGCGCUCCUGUAGGACAUGGCAAAUAUAGGCUCUGCGUCAUAUUAUUGGCUUUCAUGGCACAAGUGUAGGAUUCCUCAUAGUGUUAAAGCCUUUCACAGUAAAUGUCUAUGCUAUAAAUUUUGAUGUGCUUCCCGGCUGAAUGGAUGCUUUCAGUGGAGACAGACUGGCUGGAGCUAAAGUGGUUAGCUUUGAUUUACCUCUUCUCUAUUAUUCAAUCCUAUUGAGAAUUUUGACUAGUGAUAUCAAGUCAUGUUGAUUGGCUUCAGUUUAUAGAUUGAAAUAAAAAAUUAUAUUUAACCUUGGUCA
This 893-nucleotide long non-coding RNA is filed under the name Struthio camelus australis. RNAcentral describes it as "lncRNA (ENSSCUG00000011225.1)". Lineage: Eukaryota; Metazoa; Chordata; Aves; Struthioniformes; Struthionidae. The record is from RNAcentral.